This 78-nucleotide non-coding RNA is filed under the name Burkholderiales bacterium. RNAcentral's name for it is "SAH sequence". It matches the Rfam family "SAH (S-adenosyl-L-homocysteine) riboswitch aptamer". Lineage: Bacteria; Pseudomonadati; Pseudomonadota; Betaproteobacteria; Burkholderiales. The record is from RNAcentral.
GCUUUCGAGGAGCGUUGCAAGGUCCGCCAUGGAUCCCAGGCUCGAAAGACACGACUUUUGCAACGGCGCUCACCCGCA